Molecule: ribosomal RNA, 1484 nt
Filed under: uncultured prokaryote
Description: partial 16S ribosomal RNA
Rfam family: Bacterial small subunit ribosomal RNA
Source: RNAcentral
AGAGUUUGAUCCUGGCUCAGAACGAACGCUGGCGGCGUGCCUAACACAUGCAAGUCGAACGAGAAAGCUCUUCGGAGUGAGUAUAGUGGCGAACGGGUGAGUAAUACAUAGGAACGUACCGAUAAGUGGGGAAUAACAGACGGCUGCUAAUACCGCAUGUGGAGUUAUCUAAAGGUGGCCUCUUCUUGAAAGCUACCGCUUAUCGAUCGGCCUAUGUCCCAUUAGCUAGUUGGCGGGGUAAUGGCCCACCAAGGCUACGAUGGGUAGCUGGUCUGAGAGGAUGAUCAGCCACACUGGGACUGAGACACGGCCCAGACUCCUACGGGAGGCAGCAGUAGGGAAUUUUGCACAAUGGACGAAAGUCUGAUGCAGCAACGCCGCGUGUGUGAAGAAGGCUCUUGGGUUGUAAAGCACUUUCGACAGGGAAGAAGGGACCAGUUGCGAAUAGCCUCUGGUUUUGACGGUACCUGCAGAAGAAGCACCGGCUAACUCCGUGCCAGCAGCCGCGGUAAUACGGAGGGUGCAAGCGUUGUUCGGAAUUACUGGGCGUAAAGCGCGCGUAGGCGGGUUUUUAAGUCGAUUGUGAAAUCCCGGGGCUCAACCCCGGACGUGCAGUCGAAACUGGAAAUCUUGAAUACUUGAGAGGUUGGCGGAAUUCCCGGUGUAGGAGUGAAAUCCGUAGAUAUCGGGAGGAACACCCGAGGCGAAGGCGGCCAACUGGUGAUGUAUUGACGCUGAGGCGCGAAAGCAUGGGGAGCAAACAGGAUUAGAUACCCUGGUAGUCCAUGCCGUAAACGAUGAUUACUAGGUGCUCGGAGAACUAACUCUUUGGGUACCGCAGCUCACGCAUUAAGUAAUCCGCCUGGGGAGUACGGUCGCAAGGCUAAAACUCAAAGGAAUUGACGGGGGCCCGCACAAGCGGUGGAGUAUGUGGUUUAAUUCGAAGCAACGCGCAGAACCUUACCUGGCCUUGACAUUCUAGGACAACCCCAGAGAUGGGGCUUUCACUUCGGUGACCUAGGGACAGAUGCUGCAUGGCUGUCGUCAGCUCGUGUCGUAAGAUGUUGGGUUAAGUCCGGCAACGAGCGCAACCCUUGUCCUUAGUUGCCAGCCUUAAGUUGGGCACUCUAAGGAUACUGCCGGUGACAAACCGGAGGAAGGUGGGGACGACGUCAAGUCAUCAUGGCCCUUACGCCUAGGGCUACACACGUACUACAAUGGCGAGUACAGAGGGUCGCGAAACCGCGAGGUGAAGCUAAUCCCAAAAACGCUGUCUCAGUCCGGAUCGGAGUCUGCAACUCGACUCCGUGAAGUUGGAAUCGCUAGUAAUCGCAAAUCAGCACGUUGCGGUGAAUACGUUCCCGGGCCUUGUACACACCGCCCGUCACACCAUGGGAGUGGUCAUAACCAGAAGCAGGUGAGCUAACUUCGGAGGCAGCCUACCAAGGUUGUGGUCGUGAUUGGGGUGAAGUCGUAACAAGGUA